GGCGGCGUGCUUAACACAUGCAAGUCGAACGGUAAGGCCCUUCGGGGUACACGAGUGGCGAACGGGUGAGUAACACGUGGGUAAUCUGCCCUGCACUUCGGGAUAAGCCUGGGAAACUGGGUCUAAUACCGGAUAUUCAGCUUCUGCCGCAUGGUGGUUGUUGGAAAGUUUUUCGGUGUAGGCUGUGCCCGCGGCCUAUCAGCUUGUUGGUGGGGUAAUGGCCUACCAAGGCGACGACGGGUAGCCGGCCUGAGAGGGUGAUCGGCCACAUUGGGACUGAGACACGGCCCAGACUCCUACGGGAGGCAGCAG
Molecule: ribosomal RNA, 312 nt
Filed under: uncultured bacterium US18
Lineage: Bacteria
Description: bacterial SSU rRNA
Rfam family: Bacterial small subunit ribosomal RNA
Source: RNAcentral